This 468-nucleotide ribosomal RNA is filed under the name uncultured bacterium. RNAcentral describes it as "partial 16S ribosomal RNA". It matches the Rfam family "Bacterial small subunit ribosomal RNA", at positions 28 to 507 of the family's 1533-position model. The record is from RNAcentral.
GAUGAACGCUGGCGGCGUGCUUAACACAUGCAAGUCGAACGGUGAAGGCGGAGCUUGCUCUGCUGGAUCAGUGGCGAACGGGUGAGUAACACGUGAGCAAUCUGCCCCUGACUCUGGGAUAAGCGCUGGACACGGCGUCUAAUACUGGAUACGAGCUGCGAAGGCAUCUUCAGCAGCUGGAAAGAAUUUCGGUCAGGGAUGAGCUCGCGGCCUAUCAGCUUGUUGGUGAGGUAAUGGCUCACCAAGGCGUCGACGGGUAGCCGGCCUGAGAGGGUGACCGGCCACACUGGGACUGAGACACGGCCCAGACUCCUACGGGAGGCAACAGUGGGGAAUAUUGCACAAUGGGCGAAAGCCUGAUGCAGCAACGCCGCGUGAGGGACGACGGCCUUCGGGUUGUAAACCUCUUUUAGCAGGGAAGAAGCGAAAGUGACGGUACCUGCAGAAAAAGCGCCGGCUAACUACGUG